AUGGACAGCUCCCCGAGACCUCAGUACCUCGAGGAUCAAGAAGCCCAGACCAAGGCAGGCGGAAAGCGAGGAGGGUGGAUAACUCUUCCCUUCAUAGUUGCCACCAUGCUUGGGCUGGGACUGGCCGUCAACGGGACGACCAGCAACAUGCUGGUGUACCUGCUCAAGGAGUACCACGUGGACGGCGUCAAAGCCGCGCAGAUCGCCAACGUCGUCCGCGGCUCCCUCAACCUCGUGCCCAUCGCCGGCGCUGUCCUCUCCGACUCCUACCUCGGCUGCUUCCCCGUCAUCCUCGCCGGCGCCGCCAUCAACGUUCUGGCUUUUGUGUUGUUCACACUCACCGCGGCGCUGCCAUCCCUGAGGCCGCCACACUGCACAUUGUCGUCGGCUGAGUGCCAACAAGGAUCCCCCGGGCAACUCUUUGUGUUGUACGCUGCCAUUUGUCUUCUCGCCAUUGGCGCUGGCGGGACACGUUUCAACAUCGCGACAAUGGGGGCGGACCAGUUCAACAGCACGCACGACAAGGACAGCUUCUUCAACUGGUACUUGGUCUUCCUCUACGCAUCUUUCAUGCUCGGCGACACAGCCAUCGUCUACAUCCAAGACAGUGUGUCAUGGGCGGUGGGCUUUGGUGUUUGCCUCGCCACGACGGCAUUCGGCACAAUCAUGCUUCUUCUAGGCGUGUGUUACUACCGGAUGCCAGCAACAAAGGCCAGCCCAUACACAGAGCUAGCUCGCGUCAUCGUGGCCGCCGUGCGCAAGGGUAGCAUCAAAGUCGGUGGCGCACAAGGCAGUGUGCAGUACAAUGUGGGCGCCGGCGCUGUUGUGGACCCAUCCGGCGAUGGGGCACCAAGUAAAAGCCUAAGAUUUCUGAAUCGAGCCGCCAUGAUCACUACAAGCGACAAAUCAUCCAUUUCCGGGGAUGCGUCAGCUGGCGCCUGGCGGCUGUGCACGGUGCAGCAAGUGGAGGACCUCAAGGCCGUUCUCAGCGUCUUCCCGCUGUGGUCCUCCGGCAUACUGUUGUUCAUGUCGAUCGGCGUGAUGAUCGGCAUGAUCGUCCUGCAGGCGCUUGCCAUGGACCGCUCCGUCGGACCACACUUCAGCAUCCCGGCGGGGUCGGUCGGCGUCAGCUGUCGCAUCUCGUUCAUCUUGGCCACCCUGGUCCUGGACCGCGCCGUCUUCCCUCUCUGGCGCAAGAUCACCGGCGGCACGCCACCGACCCCGCUGCAGCGCGUGGGUAUCGGCCACGUGUUGAACGUGGGGGCCCUGGUCGCCGCCGCACUGGUGGAGCGCCGGAGGCUUGCACAGCCUGGCGUGCCCAUGUCCGUGAUGUGGCUCCUGUUCCCGAUGGGAAUCGCGGGGGUCGGGGAGGCCCUACACUUUCCUGGCAACAUGGCCUUCUACUACCAGGAGUUUCCCAAGACGCUACGGAGCCUGGCUACGGCCAUGGCGCCGAUGCUUGUCGCGCUGGGGUUCUUCUCGAGCACCAUGUUCAUGGAUGUGGUGACGCGGGUCACCGUGUGGCUGCCGGAGAACAUAGACCAUGGGAGGCUGGACAACGUCUACUGGACGCUUGCUGCGGUGGGCACAUUCAACUUUGCCUACUUCCUCGCUUGCGACAGGCGUUACAAGUACCACAACUGCGCGUCGAUGUAG
Molecule: ribosomal RNA, 1656 nt
Filed under: Triticum aestivum (bread wheat)
Lineage: Eukaryota; Viridiplantae; Streptophyta; Magnoliopsida; Poales; Poaceae
Description: partial small subunit ribosomal RNA
Source: RNAcentral